This is a long non-coding RNA of Vespa velutina, 1958 nucleotides long. RefSeq lists it as uncharacterized. The record is from RefSeq and is a predicted model, not a curated record. The transcript has 3 exons. NCBI's taxonomy places the organism in Eukaryota, Metazoa, Arthropoda, Insecta, Hymenoptera, Vespidae.
GUGGUAGUGAUGGUGGUGGUGGUAGGUAUAGGAAGAACCGACGCGAAUAGUACGACGACGAUGGUUACAUUCUACGGAUCAGAGAGCUCGAUAGCGUGCCGAAGUCGAGGCGAACGGCAAUAAAUCCAUUUUUCGUGAAGGGUCGGUCGAGGGGCGAGAGCGAGCCAGGGUCUGAUUAGCAGCCUGACUCGGCCGUACAGGAUGACAGCCGGUAGAGGAGCUGGAUGAAGACGACGUUUGUGUAGUAGAGCUGGAAGAGAAGGUGGGUGGAGGAGAGGAAGAGAAAGGACGGUAUAGCAGCAGCAGCAGCAGCGGUAACAGUAGCAGUACCAGCACCACUACUACCAGCACCACCAACACCAGCAGAAGCAGCAGAAGCAGCAGCAACAGCAGCAGCAACAGCAGAGCGGGUGGACGUGGCCGCUAUCUGCACCGUGCCUGACACCUGACGGAUAGCCUGGCGUCGGCAACGCGGGAUAUUAAUUUGGUCAUCGCCGAAGGGUCCUGUGUUUCCUGCCGCCAGAGGACCUCGCCGAACAGGAAUCGCAUUCAGAUUAUACGAGUCAACCUGAAACUACUGUCAACUUCAUCGUCAUUUCUUCCAUAUUUAAAAAGUAUAUUCUUUUCUUUGAUCGAUAUACAGAAUAUACCGUUCUUUUAGAUAUCGAUCGAUCUGAUUUUCAUAUCUUUAAAUAGCACAAAUCAAAGCUCAGUAUAGUCAAGAAAAAAAGAGGAGAUCGUAAGAGAGAAAGAGAAAGAGAGAGAGAGAGAGAGAGAGAGAGAGAGAGAGAGAGAGAGAGAGAGAGAGUGAGAGAGAGAUAAAGAAGGAAUGAUUUUUUCGAACCGGUCAACGUAAUAAAUUUUUAUGGUGUCGAGAAGAAAAGAAAAGAAAAGAAAAGAAAAGAAAAGAGAAGAGAAGAGAGAUGAAAGAGAAGGGAGAAAAGAGAGAAGGGAAAAGAAAGGAAGGAAGGAGGAGACGUAGGCACGUAUUUAAAGGGAUAAUGGCUCUCACGAAAUAGCAGACAGCUCCAUUCGCAAUACAUUAUCGUUCGCGUAUUCGCGGGUGUGCAAGGAAAUGGCAUAUUUUGUGACAGCUCUGAUCGACGACUCCUCGGUGACGCGGCUUCGAGGAGAUAUACACACACACACACACACACAUAUAUAUAUAUAUAUACAUAUAUAUAUAUACAGAGGUUCGAGGAAGAGGAGGAGAAGGGUCGAAGAGAAGUAGGAUGCGGAGGUAGAGACGAAGGCUUCUACCUUCAGCCCCGAUCGACCCACCUAAGCCGCGUUACUUCUGACGUGUGAUAGAUGGAUGCACAAUGGAAGAACACGCGCUCGCUCUGGCGCGCGCGCGCACGCCCUCGUCCUCUCUGCUCACCGCCGCGUCGCACGGAAUACGUGUCCAUCCAUGUGCGUCUAUGUAUUAGUAUCCAACGUAGGUGGAUGAGGAUGAAUGGCUCUCGUCAAACGGAAGGGACCGCCCGCCGCUUCGCGCCAUAAUACUCGUCCGCGUAAGAGGCAUAGUAGGUCGGCUUAUUGAUGACCACUCGGCUACUUACCUACGAGAGAACAAGCUAUUUACCGGUUCGAGAGUCCUCCUCUCUCUUGGCAAUUCAUACCCACCCAAAAACGAAUCUAUCGGAGUCGAUAUCGUUCUCUUAUCGAGGCCAAAAAGAUAAACCGGUCAAUUAAUUAAUUCGAUAUAUUUACAUACGUAUAUAGUUCGUUGAUAAUUCGUAAAUAUUCUUCACGUCAAACGAAUCUUCGAGACAUUGUUAUAAAUCGAACAGGUGAUAUUAUUACAUUUGAACUUAGGAUUUAUCGUAGGAAUUAUACCAUUUUACAUGAUACAUGUUGUUAAGUAGAUAAUAUAACCGAUCGAUCCGUAGACGUGAGUAUCUAUCGAUAUAAUGAAGUUCUUUUUUUUAUUUCCUUUUCUUUUCAUUUUUCUCUCC